AGAAGCCUCAGAGCAUCAGUCGGGUGCGAGGGACUCUCUCUCCCUCUCCACCCCACGGUGCAGGUACUCAGCUUCCUGGAUGCGUGAACUUGUACUCUGCUUCAACACGGCAAACUGAAAAUAAAAAGCAGGCGGGCCAGUUAGCUCCUUUGAAACACGAAGCUGAUACUGCUGCCAAAGAUAUGGGCCUCAAGCGACUUGCCAAGGCGACGAAGAUCACGAGCAAGCACAUGCUCCUCCUCAACCGGCGGGAGCCGUACAAGCCCGUCACCAGCGACCGUGUCAUGAUUGAGAACCGCCGCCGCCUCGAGGACUUCGAGGCCAAGAACGCUGAAGGAAUCGUCUUUGUGCCGGACACGGCGCUCCCGCCGUGGCAGAAGUCCAUCGCAACAAACCUCAAGCAGCAGGCGACGCAGAUGAACUUUCGAGGCUUCCGAGUGCGAGUGGCGGACAAGCAAGAUGAGCCUGGAUUCCCCACGCACUUCCGGUGAAGGCAGCGGUGCGCAUCGGCGGGGAGAAAAAAAAAAGGAAUGGCGGAGAUGGUGGCAGCCACGACGCUGAGCGCAAGCGAGGUGCGGUAGAAGCGUUGGCUGCAACGGUCCUUCCCCUGAUCCCCCCUCUUCGUGACUUUCUGCACUACGUGCUGCCGCAUAGCACAGAAAAUUUGCUGGUAUGGUGCCGGUGUCAUGGAGCUGCGCUUGGCACCGAAAUUGGACGCGAAAACCAGAAAAACACUCUAACGCAGGAAAGGUAGGGAAAGGAAAAAAUAAAGAGGCGGCGUAACGUGACUUGUGUCCCCUGCUCUUUUUCUAUGCGCGGAUUGGCAGAGGGCGGAUUUUCAGCGUAGUUGGCCAGCAGGAACGCAGACACUCGCACAUGAAACGCGCCUUGUCACUCUAUCCGCGCGCCCGCCCCCCCCCCCACAUCCACCCACCCACCUCCAACAACAAAAAAAACGGAUCGAUUUGUCACAGACCCCCUCCCCCGUUGCGCCACGCGCCUUGCUUUCCCGCUCCUCCUCAUCAGCUUGCUGCC
Molecule: unclassified non-coding RNA, 1035 nt
Filed under: Leishmania donovani
Lineage: Eukaryota; Euglenozoa; Kinetoplastea; Trypanosomatida; Trypanosomatidae
Description: gene:LdHU3.36.4810(CDS-product:hypothetical_prote in_conserved)
Source: RNAcentral